AGUGGGGAAUCAUAGACAAUGGGCGCAGGCCUGAUCUUGCCAUGCCGCGUGAGCGAUGAAGGCCCUAGGGUUGUAAAGCUCUUUCGCCAGGGAUGAUAAUGACAGUACCUGGUAAAGAAACCCCGGCUAACUCCGUGCCAGCAGCCGCGGUAAUACGGAGGGGGUUAGCGUUGUUCGGAAUUACUGGGCGUAAAGCGCGCGUAGGCGGAUCGGAAAGUUGGGGGUGAAAUCCCGGGGCUCACCCCGGAACUGCCUCCAAAACUAUCGGUCUAGGGUUCGAGAGAGGUGAGUGGAACUCCGAGUGUAGAGGUGAAAUUCGUAGAUAUUCGGAAGAACACCAGUGGCGAAGGCGGCUCACUGGCUCGAUACUGACGCUGAGGUGCGAAAGUGUGGGGAGCAAACAGGAUUAGAUACCCUGGUAGUCCACACCGUAAACGAUGAAUGCCAGACGUCGGGCAGCAUGCUGUUCGGUGUCACACCUAACGGAUUAAGCAUUCCGAAUGGGGAGUACGGUCGCAAGAUUA
This 524-nucleotide ribosomal RNA is filed under the name uncultured bacterium. RNAcentral's name for it is "bacterial SSU rRNA". It matches the Rfam family "Bacterial small subunit ribosomal RNA", at positions 353 to 896 of the family's 1533-position model. The record is from RNAcentral.